UGAGGAAUAUUGGUCAAUGGGCGAGAGCCUGAACCAGCCAUGCCGCGUGAAGGAAGAAGGCCCUAAGGGUUGUAAACUUCUUUUGUACCAGGGUAACAGCCUUUACGUGUAAAGGUAUGAAAGUAUGGUACGAAUAAGGAUCGGCUAACUCCGUGCCAGCAGCCGCGGUAAUACGGAGGAUACGAGCGUUAUCCGGAUUUAUUGGGUUUAAAGGGUGCGCAGGCGGGCUUGUAAGUCAGUGGUGAAAGACUACCGCUUAACGGUAGCAUUGCCAUUGAUACUGCAGGCCUUGAGUACAUUUGAAGUGGGCGGAAUGUGUAGUGUAGCGGUGAAAUGCUUAGAUAUUACACAGAACACCGAUAGCGUAGGCAGCUCACUAAGAUGCAACUGACGCUCAGGCACGAAAGCGUGGGUAUCAAACA
This 422-nucleotide ribosomal RNA is filed under the name uncultured Bacteroidota bacterium. RNAcentral's name for it is "uncultured Bacteroidetes bacterium partial 16S ribosomal RNA". It matches the Rfam family "Bacterial small subunit ribosomal RNA", at positions 355 to 774 of the family's 1533-position model. Lineage: Bacteria; Pseudomonadati; Bacteroidota. The record is from RNAcentral.